CCCUUAGAUGUUCUGGGCUGCACACGUGCUACACUGGCAGGUUCAGCGAGCUUCAUGCCCUGAUCUGAAAGGAAUGGGAAAUCUUUUCAAAACCUGCCGUGCUUGGGAUAGAUGUUUGCAAUUAUUCAUCUUCAACGAGGAUUGCCUUGUAAGCGCACGUAAUCAGCGUGCAUUGAAUACGACCCUGUAUUCUGUACACACCGCCCGUCGCUCCUACCGAUUGAAGUUUUCGGUGAGUUGACAGGAGGAUUUUUUUGAAACUGGUUCGCCAGUGGAUUUUAGAUCCAAAUGCCAACGAAUCGAUGGCUUUAGAGGAAGGAGAAGUCGUAACA
This 332-nucleotide ribosomal RNA is filed under the name uncultured eukaryote. Its description in RNAcentral is "partial 18S ribosomal RNA". It matches the Rfam family "Eukaryotic small subunit ribosomal RNA", at positions 1470 to 1796 of the family's 1831-position model. The record is from RNAcentral.